ACGAACGCUGGCGGCGUGCCUAAUACAUGCAAGUUGCGCGAUGAAGAUUGGUGCUUGCCCCAAUUUGACGAGCAGCGAACGGGUGAGUAACGCGUGGGGAAUCUGCCUUUGAGCGGGGGACAACAUUUGGAAACGAAUGCUAAUACCGCAUAACAACUUUAAACAUCAGUUUUAAGUUUGAAAGAUGCAAUUGCAUCACUCAAAGAUGAUCCCGCGUUGUAUUAGCUAGUUGGUGAGGUAAAGGCUCACCAAGGCGAUGAUACAUAGCCGACCUGAGAGGGUGAUCGGCCACAUUGGGACUGAGACACGGCCCAAACUCCUACGGGAGGCAGCAGUAGGGAAUCUUCGGCAAUGGACGAAAGUCUGACCGAGCAACGCCGCGUGAGUGAAGAAGGUUUUCGGAUCGUAAAACUCUGUUGGUAGAGAAGAACGUUGGUGAGAGUGGAAAGCUCAUCAAGUGACGGUAACUACCCAGAAAGGGACGGCUAACUACGUG
RNAcentral lists this ribosomal RNA (496 nucleotides) under uncultured bacterium. Its description in RNAcentral is "partial 16S ribosomal RNA". It matches the Rfam family "Bacterial small subunit ribosomal RNA", at positions 29 to 507 of the family's 1533-position model. The record is from RNAcentral.